Non-coding RNA from Podospora appendiculata, 85 nucleotides. Lineage: Eukaryota; Fungi; Ascomycota; Sordariomycetes; Sordariales; Podosporaceae. The record is from the annotation of a GenBank genome assembly.
GCUCGAUUAGUGUAGCGGCCAUCACUUCGGAUUCUGAGAACUUCUCGAGCUUCCGACAACCCUGGUUCGAUUCCAGGAUCGAGCU